Molecule: long non-coding RNA, 206 nt
Organism: Daphnia magna
Lineage: Eukaryota; Metazoa; Arthropoda; Branchiopoda; Diplostraca; Daphniidae
Exons: 3
Source: RefSeq, a predicted model, not a curated record
GUCAUUUUCUGUGUCUUCUCCUGAUUUCCCAGUGCUAUACUGACAUCUCGAUUAAUUGACACAGCUCUGACUAGAAUUGUAUAGCCCUGACUAGAAUUGUAUAAAAGAAAACGUGACUAGAAGUUGACUAGCACUGAGGUCUGACUAGAGUUGAGGUCUUGACAGACGGAACCUUAAGCAAGUUGCUGUGAUAACGGUUCUUGCCC